Molecule: unclassified non-coding RNA, 916 nt
Filed under: Cyanobacterium sp. 11TAG4
Lineage: Bacteria; Bacillati; Cyanobacteriota; Cyanophyceae; Chroococcales; Geminocystaceae
Description: bacterial SSU rRNA
Rfam family: Bacterial small subunit ribosomal RNA
Source: RNAcentral
UUCCUAGUGUAGCGGUGAAAUGCGUAGAGAUUAGGAAGAACACCAGUGGCGAAGGCGCUCUACUGGGCAUAUACUGACACUGAGGGACGAAAGCUAGGGGAGCGAAAGGGAUUAGAUACCCCUGUAGUCCUAGCGGUAAACGAUGGAUACUAGGCGUAGUGCUGUUAGAAGGACUGUGCCGAAGCUAACGCGUUAAGUAUCCCGCCUGGGGAGUACGCACGCAAGUGUGAAACUCAAAGGAAUUGACGGGGACCCGCACAAGCGGUGGAGUAUGUGGUUUAAUUCGAUGCAACGCGAAGAACCUUACCAAGGCUUGACAUCCUGCGAAUCUUGGAGAAAUCUGAGAGUGCCUAAGGGAACGCAGAGACAGGUGGUGCAUGGCUGUCGUCAGCUCGUGUCGUGAGAUGUUGGGUUAAGUCCCGCAACGAGCGCAACCCUCGUCCUUAGUUGCCAGCAUUAAGUUGGGGACUCUAGGGAGACCGCCGGGGAGAACUCGGAGGAAGGUGGGGAUGACGUCAAGUCAGCAUGCCCCUUACGUCUUGGGCUACACACGUACUACAAUGGUUGGGACAAAGGGGAGCGAAACCGCGAGGUGGAGCGAAUCUCAUCAAACCCAGCCACAGUUCAGAUUGCAGGCUGAAACUCGCCUGCAUGAAGGAGGAAUCGCUAGUAAUCGCAGGUCAGCAUACUGCGGUGAAUCCGUUCCCGGGUCUUGUACACACCGCCCGUCACACCAUGGAAGUUGGUCACGCCCGAAGUCGUUAUUCUAACCCAAGUGGAAGGAGACGCCGAAGGUGGGACUAGUGACUGGGGUGAAGUCGUAACAAGGUAGCCGUACCGGAAGGUGUGGCUGGAUCACCUCCUUUAAGGGAGACUUCGAGAAGAAGUCAGCAAGGAAAUGGGGAGGGCUAGAAAA